Molecule: unclassified non-coding RNA, 289 nt
Filed under: Hevea brasiliensis (rubber tree)
Lineage: Eukaryota; Viridiplantae; Streptophyta; Magnoliopsida; Malpighiales; Euphorbiaceae
Source: RNAcentral
GUACUCAUUCUCCACAGAAGGUUUUUCUUCGCAAUGGCCAGAAUGGUGGGGCAUUUAGUCCAGUCACUUGUUCAAGCGAUAAUGAUCCAUGGUUACAGAAUGCUUUUUUCCCUCCAUUAGAGGGUGAUAGUCAUUUCUCUCUGAAACCUCUGGAGGAGAAUGCUCGGAAUGAAAUAAUUUACUGGAGUCCUACAGACACUGCAACCAACCAUUCUUUUAAGCUUUCUCCAGCUAAUUGUUGGUCCAAGAAGGAUUGGACUGUGCAAAGUUCAGGAGAAGGUGUUGGGAA